AAAGCAGGCAAAAAAAGGGCGAAGGAAAGUGAAAAUUAGGUUGUUGUUGUCGAGCAAAAACCUUUUUUUUCAUAGGAAAUUAGAAGCCAUUUAUAUUAACACAAAGACGAGGAGAAAGCAAAAAACUUAUUCCCCAGGAGUCAAACACAGGGAAUGAAUUGGGAGUUCAACUCAGUGUAACGAAUGGACUUUUUGCCUUCCUCUUUUCAUCCUCAUCAUUUUCCUCCCAUUUCAACAUCAACAUCAUCAUCAUCUAUUAUAAAAUGCACAAGCAACAUUCAUUUCCAUGUUAAUCAAGUUUCCAUCAUUAUUAAUUUUCAAUUUCAUUUCCUGUUAAUUUUAAAACAAUUUUCAUGAAAGGAUACAUUCAACACCAGCUAAAUUGGAAUCAAAAAAGGGUUGUAUUGCCAUUCAUUAUGCAAAAAGUAUCCAAGUAAACAAGAAAAUCUUUUACCUCAAUCUUAGCAAUUUUCAAUCUCAAGCCUAAAAAAGACUGUUGAAUGUAAAAUGAAAUUCAACUUUUUAUCCAAAUCUUUUUAAUCCUGUUAAAUCUAACUUCAUCUUCUGGACCCAAUUUAUUAUCAAUUUUACUCUUAAAUAUAUUUGAAAUAAAUAUAUACAUGAGAGGUAAAAAAAGCUGAGAAGGUAACAAUAGAGAGAAAGAAGGAAAAGAUUUCUUGUUUAUUUUGAUGCACAGAAUAAGAGAAAAAAAAGAACCGGACAAAAAUUCAUUCUUAUGUCAAUUCCAGGAGCAACAACAUCAUCCUCAUCUUCAUAUCUUCAUCUCCUUAAGGCUUCAAGAAGAUUUCCAUUGGUCUUCAAAAGUUUCAAGCAAAAAAAACCAAGUCAAACCAAAGGAGCAAAAAGGAUGAAAAGUUUCUUUCCUCAACGAAUACAUUUGACUAACUUUAAGGAGCAAAAAUUCAGUUUCAUAUAUUACAUUUUUUCUCCCUCUUCUUCAGCUCAGGUAUAUUCUUACUCUGAUUGUUAUUAGGCUGCAUAAAUUUUCCUUGAGGGAUUUGUUUGUUUAUUUGUUUAUUUCAUCUCAUUCUUUGAGUUUUGUAGUAAUGUUUCUCUCUCUGUGUGUUUUAGUCAAUAGGAACAGUUUUUAUGUACAUUUUUGCUUCUUAAAUAAACCUCACUUGACAGGGUCAAAGGUAAAAAGAUCAAAUUAUUCAUUGAAUUGUAUGUAAAAAUGUAGACAGUAAAAAAGGCCUCUAGGUAUUAGUUACUAGCAAUGAAAUAUUUUAUUCAAAACUAUUAUCUCUUUUGGGUUUUACCAGCAACAACCAGAAUAGAGUAAAAAGCUGAUCACAAAUUGAUUGAUUAAAACAAUUGUCAAAUGAUAA
Non-coding RNA from Tetranychus urticae (two-spotted spider mite), 1349 nucleotides. The record is from RefSeq and is a predicted model, not a curated record. Lineage: Eukaryota; Metazoa; Arthropoda; Arachnida; Trombidiformes; Tetranychidae.